Molecule: ribosomal RNA, 492 nt
Filed under: uncultured bacterium
Lineage: Bacteria
Description: partial 16S ribosomal RNA
Rfam family: Bacterial small subunit ribosomal RNA
Source: RNAcentral
AGUGGACGCUGGCGGUAGGCCUAACACAUGCAAGUCGAACGGCAGCACAGUAAGAGCUUGCUCUUACGGGUGGCGAGUGGCGGACGGGUGAGGAAUACAUCGGAAUCUACUUUUUCGUGGGGGAUAACGUAGGGAAACUUACGCUAAUACCGCAUACGACCUACGGGUGAAAGCAGGGGAUCUUCGGACCUUGCGCGAUUGAAUGAGCCGAUGUCGGAUUAGCUAGUUGGCGGGGUAAAGGCCCACCAAGGCGACGAUCCGUAGCUGGUCUGAGAGGAUGAUCAGCCACACUGGAACUGAGACACGGUCCAGACUCCUACGGGAGGCAGCAGUGGGGAAUAUUGGACAAUGGGCGCAAGCCUGAUCCAGCCAUACCGCGUGGGUGAAGAAGGCCUUCGGGUUGUAAAGCCCUUUUGUUGGGAAAGAAAAGCAGCAGGCUAAUACCCCGCUGUUCUGACGGUACCCAAAGAAUAAGCACCGGCUAACUUCGCG